CGAGUGUUUGAGAGUGUGUGUGUGUGUGUGUGUGCGUGCGUGUGACCAGCGUCUGAGCGCUCUCUCACAGCCUGCGCGCGGAGCAGGAGACUCGGAUCGCGCUCCACCAGCCGCCUCUCGCAGCUCUCAUUUGAGCGUGCGGCUCGCAACACACACACACACACACUUUCUCUCUCUCCUUCUCUUUUUCUCCUGCAUUCGGACUCUCUAGCAGAAAGAGGAUUUAACACACGCGGCCAGCAACGGAGGAGCUAAACGCAAAGCCAGGAAGGGUCAAAGUAACCUACCUUUUGAGGAACGACACACAAUCCCAGUCCCCGAAGAUGUUUCUCCUAGCUGCUCCCGCAGACAGGAAUCCGCUCGCAGAGACGAGAUCCACGCUCUCCCCCAGGAGACGAGUACAAAGGCCAGUCUGCACGCGGCAGAUGAAAAAACCAAGUCCAUCUGCUGUAGGCUUCCCAUUGCCACAUGGAGAUUGAAAAGGCUUUGGACUGCAAGGUCAAUGAGGACAAACAAUUCCAGCAGCGGCUCUCCAGCACAUGCAGAAGAAAGUGUAGGGCGAGGGGGGGAUGGACUCGUGCGCUGGCAGAGCUGGUGUCUCCGAGCGCUGGCAUAAUUUCCAUGGCAACCCCUCUAACUAUUAAUUUUCAAUUAAAGCAGACACAAAACGCCCUGCCCCGAGCUUGAGGAAGGUGUCAAGAGCGCAGAGCGGGAAACUGGGCCUUUCUGGAGCCACUCAGAGCCACUGGGCUCCUUCCUAGUGACACAAAUCACACUGUAUUUAUUUCACAAAUCACCCCAGUGAUACACCAAAAUCACAACUGAACACAUGCAUGCUAAAUAUCAGCCAUAUUAGAAUUUUGGGGGGGAUUAUAACCCCUUUUAUGUCCCUUGGUGGUUUAGCAGAGGUGUUACCUCCCCCUUGUGUCGGCUUUAAAAUCUGACAGGAUACUCAGCUGUCAAUAAAAACUGUUUUAAGGAA
Danio aesculapii is the source of this 982-nucleotide long non-coding RNA. RefSeq lists it as uncharacterized. The transcript has 4 exons. Lineage: Eukaryota; Metazoa; Chordata; Actinopteri; Cypriniformes; Danionidae. The record is from RefSeq and is a predicted model, not a curated record.